GACGAACGCUGGCGGCGUGCUUAACACAUGCAAGUCGAACGGAAAGGCCCUGCUUUUGUGGGGUGCUCGAGUGGCGAACGGGUGAGUAACACGUGAGUAACCUGCCCUUGACUUUGGGAUAACUUCAGGAAACUGGGGCUAAUACCGGAUAGGAGCUCCUGCUGCAUGGUGGGGGUUGGAAAGUUUCGGCGGUUGGGGAUGGACUCGCGGCUUAUCAGCUUGUUGGUGGGGUAGUGGCUUACCAAGGCUUUAACGGGUAGCCGGCCUGAGAGGGUGACCGGCCACAUUGGGACUGAGAUACGGCCCAGACUCCUACGGGAGGCAGCAGUGGGGAAUAUUGCACAAUGGGCGGAAGCCUGAUGCAGCAACGCCGCGUGCGGGAUGACGGCCUUCGGGUUGUAAACCGCUUUCGCCUGUGACGAAGCGUGAGUGACGGUAAUGGGUAAAGAAGCACCGGCUAACUAUGUG
Molecule: ribosomal RNA, 468 nt
Filed under: uncultured bacterium
Lineage: Bacteria
Description: partial 16S ribosomal RNA
Rfam family: Bacterial small subunit ribosomal RNA
Source: RNAcentral